RNAcentral lists this ribosomal RNA (442 nucleotides) under uncultured bacterium. Its description in RNAcentral is "partial 16S ribosomal RNA". It matches the Rfam family "Bacterial small subunit ribosomal RNA", at positions 338 to 795 of the family's 1533-position model. The record is from RNAcentral.
CCUACGGGUGGCAGCAGUGGGGAAUAUUGGUCAAUGGGCGCAAGCCUGACCCAGCAACGCCGCGUGAAGGAAGAAGGCUUUCGGGGUGGAAACUUCUUUUUAUAGGGAAGAACAGAAUACGGUACCUGUCGAAUAAGCCACGGCUAACUACGUGCCAUCAGCCGCCGUAAUACGUAGGGGGCAAGCGUUGUCCGGAUUUACUGGGUGUAAAGGGCGUGUAGCCGGGCUGACAAGUCAGAUGUGAAAUCCGGGGGCGCAACCCUCGAACUGCGUUUGAAACUGUUGGUCUUGAGUAUCGGCGAGGUAGGCGGAAUUCGUAGUGUAGCGGUGAAAUGCUUAGAUAUUAGGAGGAACACCAGUGGCGAAGGCGGCUUGCUGGACGACAACUGACGGUGAGGCGCGAAAGCGUGGGGAGCAAACAGGAUUAGAUACCCUUGUAGUC